This 497-nucleotide ribosomal RNA is filed under the name uncultured bacterium. RNAcentral describes it as "partial 16S ribosomal RNA". It matches the Rfam family "Bacterial small subunit ribosomal RNA", at positions 28 to 507 of the family's 1533-position model. The record is from RNAcentral.
GAUGAACGCUGGCGGCGUGCCUAAUACAUGCAAGUCGAGCGAACGGACGAGAAGCUUGCUUCUCUGAUGUUAGCGGCGGACGGGUGAGUAACACGUGGAUAACCUACCUAUAAGACUGGGAUAACUUCGGGAAACCGGAGCUAAUACCGGAUGAUAUUUUGAACCGCAUGGUUCAAAAGUGAAAGACGGUCUUGCUGUCACUUAUAGGUGGAUCCGCGCUGCAUUAGCUAGUUGGUAAGGUAACGGCUUACCAAGGCAACGAUGCAUAGCCGACCUGAGAGGGUGAUCGGCCACACUGGAACUGAGACACGGUCCAGACUCCUACGGGAGGCAGCAGUAGGGAAUCUUCCGCAAUGGGCGAAAGCCUGACGGAGCAACGCCGCGUGAGUGAUGAAGGUCUUCGGAUCGUAAAACUCUGUUAUUAGGGAAGAACAUAUGUGUAAGUAACUGAGCACAUCUUGACGGUACCUAAUCAGAAAGCCACGGCUAACUACGUG